UAUGUUAUGAGAGGCUCACUAUUUUUCCAAACGUUCCAAAUAAUUCUAGGUUUCUGAAUCCUUUUCAUUUCUUUCUUUCUUUUUUAAUAAAAAAAUUGUGUCCAUUUUUUUGUGUUCCUCUGAAGAAUUUAUUUUCAAUUUGUGAUGCAAGCUGCAAAUAUACCUUUCAGAUUCUCAAUGUACUUGUCAUUUUUCUCCCCUUUUUUUUGAAUGUUAUUUUGUCUGUCUAACUUGUGACCAGAUCUAUUAAAGUGCUGAUGGAAUCAAGUUGUGAAGAGUUGGAGGAUACAUCCCUUCUUUGAAGAUGUCUUUUCAGAAUAAUUAUGAAUCGGGAAGAAAUAUGUGAAGACAAAGAGCGUGAGAAACCAAGACAAGAUUAAUGGAAGCUUUAAGAUUGGCUUCAUUUGCACUUUAAUAACUGUUGUGCCAAAUUGCAAUCUAUAUCAAGUUCAUUUGUAUUGGGUGUAAAUUCUUCAAUUUGUGUUUAUUUUCAUGAAUCUGAUUGCAGUUUA
Camellia sinensis is the source of this 512-nucleotide non-coding RNA. The record is from RefSeq and is a predicted model, not a curated record. NCBI's taxonomy places the organism in Eukaryota, Viridiplantae, Streptophyta, Magnoliopsida, Ericales, Theaceae.